UCCUUUUGUUGACUCAGUAGUAUUCCAUUGCAUAGAUACAUUACAUUUUGUUUGUCCAUUCAUCAGUUGAUGAACAUUUGAGUAAUUUCCACUUUUUGGUUAUUAUGAAUAUUGCUGCUAUGAACAUUUGUAUCAGGUUUUUGUGAGCAUCUGUUUUCAGUUCUCUUGGAUAUAUGCUAGGAGGGAAUUGCUAGUAUAUUAAUGAUUUUUAACUUUUUAUGGUACCACCAAACUGUCUUCCACAGCAGCUGCACCAUUUUACAUUCAAACUAGCAGCGAAUGAAGGUUUGGAUUUUUCCACAUCUUUGUCAACACUUGUCUGUCGUUUUUAUUUUGGUCAUCUUAUUAGGGAUGUGGUGGUAUCUCAUCAUGGUUUUGAUUUGCAUUUCCCUAAUGGCAAUGAUGCUGAUCAUCCUGUCAUGUGCUUAUCAGCCACUUGUAUAUCUUCUUUGGAGAUAUGUCUAUCCAUAUCCUUCACUCAUUUUUAAACUGGGUUACUUGUCUUAUUAUUGUUAUGAGUUGUGUGAGUUGUAAAGGUUAUUUAUAUAUUCUGGUUACAAGUCUUUUGUCAGAUAAAUUAUUUGCAAAUAUUUUCUCCCAUCCUGUAAAUUGUCUUGUUAUUUUCUUCAUGGUGUCCUUUGAGGCACAAAAGUUUAAUGUUGGUGUAAUCCAAUUUAUCUACUUUUUCUUUAGUUGAUUGUGCUUUCAGUGUCACAUCUAAGAAACCAUAGCUUAAUCCAAGAUCACAGGGAUUUACUCCUAUGCUUUCUUAUAACAGCUUUAUAGUUUAACCCUUACAUUUAGAUGUAUGAAUCACUUUGACUUAAUUUAUUCUCAUAUAUUGUGUGAGGUAGGAGUCCAACUUCAUUCUUUUACAUGUGCAUACCAAAUUGUCCCAGCACCAUUUAUUGAAAACAUAAUAUAGUUUUACGACAAACUUUGAUUACAUCACUAUUUAGUAUUUACACUAUUAUGGUAAAUGUGUUCUCUGCUGAGCCAAGCAGUAUAUAGUUACUGUUUCCUUUCUUGUUAAAAAAAAAAAAAAAAAAAAAGCCCUUGUUUUUCCAAGAGUUAACAGUAGCCUCGUUUUUAUUGUUGCCAUUUCUUUAAUUUCAUUGAAUUUAUAUUUAUUUCUUUCCACACCUUCCAAUAGCCCCUCUUUCCGCAAGACCAAACCUAUCAGCUAAUUAAUCUAUCACUUCCCAUUUUUUUUCUGGAGACAUCCCUUUGGGGCAUCUGUUUCUGUGCACCAGUCUACAUUUCUUGUUCCUAAAAAUAAUUCCUACCCAAACCUUCUGCCGAACACUGAAUGCUUAAACACAUAAUCUUCCUCCUGCUUUUUUUUUUUUUGAGACAGAGUCUCGCUCUGUUGCCCAGGCUGGAGUACAGUGGCGCGAUCUCGGCUCCGCCUCCCGGGUUCACGCCAUUCUCCUGCCUCAGCCUCCCAAGUAGCUGGGACUACAGGCGCCAGCCACCGCGCCUGGCUAAUUUUUGUAUUUUAGUAGAGACGGGGUUUCACCGUGUUAGCCAGGAUAAUCUCGAUCUCCUGACCCCGUGAUCCACCCACCUCGGCCUCCCAAAGUGCUGGGAUUACAGGUGUGAGUCAGCGCUCCCAGCCUUUUUUUUUUUUUUUUUUUUUUUUUCUGACAUGCUCCUUGAGCCCUCAGCACUCUUGCUCCUGUCUAUUUUGGCUAGGAAAUCUCUUUAGUGAGUCCUGAGAACUACCAUUGCCUUUCUCUUUUGUUGGUUCCUCUGCUUCCUGAAUCCCAUUUUCUCCUGUUUUAAUUUACUUCCUAAUUAGACGGGCUAUAGACUCCAGAAGCUUCCUUAAAAAAUGCAUGGGAAACAAAUUAUUUUUUAUCUUUACGUGAUUCUUUGUUUUUAACCUUAUAUAAAUAGCUUGGCUGGGAUUUGAAUUCAAGUUUAGAAAUCCUCCUCAAUCAGCACUUUGAAGGCAUUCCUCCACUGUCUUCUGGCCUUCACUGCUGCUUUUGAGAAGUCUAUGCCAUUCUAAUAUGGCAUCUCAAUCCUUAGUAUCUGCCUCAUUUCAUCUUUCCAGAAGUUUUUAUGACUUUCUUUUUUUCUAUUUGAUAUUUUGAACUUUCAUUAUAAUAUGUAUUGUUCUAAACUUGGUGUGUAUUGUACUGAAUACUUAAUGAAUCCUUUCAUUCAGAGCACUAAAUUGUUUUGGUUUGAGGAAAUUUCCUAAUAUUGCUUCCCUGAUAAUUUCUUCCUUACUCUUUUCUCUUCAUAGAAUUCCUAUUAUACAGAUGUUCCACUUCCUGGAUGAUCUUUUACAUUUCUUACUUUUUCUCUUCUUGUCCAUCUUUAUCUCUUCAUUUUCCUUUUAGAGGGAUAUCUUAACUUUAUCUUACAAACUUCUCACUGACAUUAAAAAAAAAUUUAAACUAUUUUUUAAUUUCCCAGAAGCGAAGUCUUUCUUGUUUUCUGACUAUACGUGUUUUUUAAAAUUAAAUUUCUGUUCUUGUUUUGUGGAUACAAUAUCUUUUCUCAUCUCUCUGGGGAUAUUAACAUUAACUCAUGUUAAAAUUGACUCAUUUCCUCAUUUCCUCUAGCCUCUAAGGUUGGAAUUACUUCUGUAAUAUAGCUGGCCCCGAGAAAAAUGCUAUCUUCAACAAGUGGGUAAUCAGAAAGAUCGUUAAUCCAACUGCACCCUUAGGAAUAUAUCAGAUGUGUUUGGGUGAUUUUUUUUUUUUUUUUUAGUUACUAGCUUUAUCAGCAGGAAGUGGUUGGGGAGGGGGUUCUGCUGAAGUGAUCCUCAUUGGGAUAUGAAUAUAUAUGAAAUAUAUAUGAAUAUGUAUGAAAUUAUAUAUUUAUAUAUCUAUGUAUGAAAUAUAUCUAUAUAUUGAUAUACCAAAUAUAUCAAAAUAUAUCGAUUGAUAAUAUCAAAUUGAUACAUCAAAUAUAUCAAAAUAUAUCAAUUGAUAUAUCAAAUUGAUACAUCAAAUAUAUCAAUAGAUAUAUUAAAAUAUACCUAUUGAUAUAUCAAAAUAUACCUAUAUAUUGAUAUAUCAUAUAUAUCAAUAUGCAUGAAUAUAUGAAUAUAUAAAUAUAUAUGUAAUUAUAUAUUUGUAUAUUAAUAUAGAAAAUAUAUGAAAUUAUAUAUUUAUAUAUUAAUAUAUAAAUAUAUAUACACACAUAUCUAAUCUUUAGUGAGG
RNAcentral lists this long non-coding RNA (3179 nucleotides) under Homo sapiens (human). RNAcentral describes it as "non-protein coding lnc-FAM110B-11:1". The record is from RNAcentral. Lineage: Eukaryota; Metazoa; Chordata; Mammalia; Primates; Hominidae.